CUUGGUCAUUUAGAGGAAGUAAAAGUCGUAACAAGGUUUCCGUAGGUGAACCUGCGGAAGGAUCAUUACCUAGAGUUUGUAGACUUCGGUCUGCUACCUCUUACCCAUGUCUUUUGAGUACCUUCGUUUCCUCGGCGGGUCCGCCCGCCGAUUGGACAACAUUCAAACCCUUUGCAGUUGCAAUCAGCGUCUGAAAAAACAUAAUAGUUACAACUUUCAACAACGGAUCUCUUGGUUCUGGCAUCGAUGAAGAACGCAGCGAAAUGCGAUAAGUAAUGUGAAUUGCAGAAUUCAGUGAAUCAUCGAAUCUUUGAACGCACCUUGCGCUCCUUGGUAUUCCGAGGAGCAUGCCUGUUUGAGUGUCAUGAAACUCUCACCCUUCAACUUUCUUAAUAGUGGUUGCGGGCGUGGACUUGAGCGUUGCUGGUUUUUAUUAACCGGCUCGCUUGAAAUGAAUUAGCAGAUCCUUUUUGUAAUCGGUUCCACUCGACGUGAUAAGUAUUUCGCCGAGGACAUCUUAACGGAUGGCCGAGAUAAAGAAAGUCUUAGAUCCGCUUCUAAUUCUUAGCUUUACGCAAGUAAACUAAACCCAUUUUAUGAUCUGGCCUCAAAUCAGGUAGGACUACCCGCUGAACUUAAGCAUAUCAAUAAGCGGAGGAAAAGAAACUAACAAGGAUUCCCCUAGUAACGGCGAGUGAAGCGGGAUGAGCUCAAAUUUAAAAUCUUGCAGCCUCAGGUUGUACGAGUUGUAGUCUAGAGAAUCGUUUUCCGCGUUGGCCUGUGUACAAGUCCCUUGGAACAGGGCGUCAUAGAGGGUGAGAAUCCCGUCCUUGACACAGACUACCAAUGCUUUGUGAUGCGAUCUCGAAGAGUCGAGUUGUUUGGGAAU
Molecule: small RNA, 889 nt
Filed under: uncultured Cryptococcus
Lineage: Eukaryota; Fungi; Basidiomycota; Tremellomycetes
Description: eukaryotic LSU rRNA
Rfam family: Eukaryotic large subunit ribosomal RNA (bases 603-889)
Source: RNAcentral